This 405-nucleotide ribosomal RNA is filed under the name uncultured Pseudomonas sp. RNAcentral describes it as "bacterial SSU rRNA". It matches the Rfam family "Bacterial small subunit ribosomal RNA", at positions 977 to 1382 of the family's 1533-position model. Lineage: Bacteria; Pseudomonadati; Pseudomonadota; Gammaproteobacteria; Pseudomonadales; Pseudomonadaceae. The record is from RNAcentral.
GGCCUUGACAUGCAGAGAACUUUCCAGAGAUGGAUUGUGCCUUCGGGAACUCUGACACAGGUGCUGCAUGGCUGUCGUCAGCUCGUGUCGUGAGAUGUUGGGUUAAGUCCGUAACGAGCGCAACCCUUGUCCUUAGUUUACCAGCGCGUUAUGGUGGGCGACUCUAAGGAGACUGCCGGUGACAACCGGAGGAAGGUGGGGAUGACGUCAAGUCAUCAUGGCCCCUACGGCCUGGGCUACACACGUGCUACAAUGGUCGGUACAAAGGGUUGCCAAGCCGCGAGGUGGAGCUAAUCCCAUAAAACCGAUCGUAGUCCGGAUCGCAGUCUGCAACUCGACUGCGUGAAGUCGGAAUCGCUAGUAAUCGUGAAUCAGAAUGUCACGGUGAAUACGUUCCCGGGCCUU